Molecule: long non-coding RNA, 1110 nt
Organism: Xenia sp. Carnegie-2017
Lineage: Eukaryota; Metazoa; Cnidaria; Anthozoa; Malacalcyonacea; Xeniidae
Exons: 3
Source: RefSeq, a predicted model, not a curated record
CAGUGAUUCAGUGAGAAAUUAUACCAACAUGGGUUACAGUCAAUAUGGCGAUGAUGUGUCUAGUGUUCAUCAUUAACAACCUGUUGUUGUUGUGAGAACAUUUAAUCAUCCAGGAAAGUCGUACUCUUACAGACAAAGGAGAUCGUUGCCAACAAACCACUCAAGACCAAACUACAAAAAAUCUUUUAAAUCUUCGACGACUCGCAGACGAAAACCUUUACCAUCUGCCUGGACAAUAAACCUUCGAGAUUUGCCGUCAAGACAUGAAAAUUAUGAAGAUGUUCACUCUUAUUACUUACCACCGAGAAGAAAAGCAAAAUAUCAAGGCUCAACUCGUACACAAGACUACAUGAAUCACGAAAUGAAAGUUUGUUAAUGCUAAAAGUCAUGGUUCUGGUAAUAGUAAAAGAUACAUUGUUGAAAACCGUCUUAAACUAUCCCAUGCUAAAAAGGCUAAAACCUCGACUUAUUACAAAAUUUCUGGUCGAUCACAACUCAGCUCACAUUCGGAUGCGUCAGAAGUAGAUUAUAAAUCAUCGCCUGUCCUUCAAGACCAAAUUAAGGAUCAAAAUUUUCAAGCAAUUUAUUCCGACAAAAAGUGGAAGAGAAAUGAAGACCAACUGAGCUAUGAAGUCACACUGUGGUGAGCAGGUCAAUUUUGUUGGGUUCAUGUUUACUCGUGAAAGGAAUGUCAUUUUGAAGGGAUGUUCUUCAUAGCUCAGUUGGUCAGAGCACUGCACCGGCACCGCAGAGGUCAUGGGUUCGAAUCUCGUCGAGUCACCUGAAUUUUUCAGGUUCAUGAGACAAUUGCUUAAAUUGUCCAGCAAAGUGCAAAGAUCAUAUCUACAUUUAAUUUCAAACACCGCACUGCAUAAAACAUCCUUACAGUUUUCUGAAUUCUUACCCACUCCUCCAAGGCCAAACGACAGCCAAUCAGAUAUCUCUACGGAUGGAUAUUCCCGUGGUAGUUAUAAAUCAUUUAAAAACAAACUUGAAAGAAACGUUAAAGAAAACAGGGAGGUUGUUGUUGAAGACAGAAGUCAAUCAGAUCAAGAAAAACAUAAUGAAUCAUUUGAAGAAACUUUAGAGCGUUUACGAAAUGGUGAGACG